AAGUCGUAACAAGGUUUCCGUAGGUGAACCUGCGGAAGGAUCAUUACUAAAUGUUUUCCAACCUCAACGUAUGUGAACUGUUAUCAAUGUCAUGGCGAGAUACGCCUAGUGUUGCCCUUGGGCGGCCUAGACGCCUCGCCGUGUUUUGUCUACGUAUAUCUAUUCUUAGCUCUGAGACUUUAAUUUUAAAUUAAAGACAACUUUUAGCAACGGAUCUCUUGGCUCUCGC
Molecule: unclassified non-coding RNA, 229 nt
Filed under: fungal sp.
Lineage: Eukaryota; Fungi
Description: partial internal transcribed spacer region
Rfam family: Eukaryotic small subunit ribosomal RNA (bases 1-46)
Source: RNAcentral